AUAUUGCACAAUGGGCGCAAGCCUGAUGCAGCGACGCCGCGUGAGGGAUGACGGCCUUCGGGUUGUAAACCUCUUUCAGUAGGGAAGAAGCGUAAGUGACGGUACCUGCAGAAGAAGCGCCGGCUAACUACGUGCCAGCAGCCGCGGUAAUACGUAGGGGGCAAGCGUUGUCCGGAUUUAUUGGGCGUAAAGCGCUCGCAGGUGGUCCGAUGCGUCGUGCGUGAAAGACCCCGGCUCAACUGGGGAGGGUCGUGCGAUACGGUCGGACUGGAGGCCAGUAGGGGGAUGCGGAAUUCCGGGUGUAGUGGUGGAAUGCGUAGAGAUCCGGAGGAACACCAGCGGCGAAGGCGGCAUCCUGGACUGGUCCUGACACUCAUGAGCGAAAGCGUGGGGAGCGAUC
RNAcentral lists this ribosomal RNA (400 nucleotides) under uncultured bacterium. RNAcentral's name for it is "bacterial SSU rRNA". It matches the Rfam family "Bacterial small subunit ribosomal RNA", at positions 361 to 773 of the family's 1533-position model. The record is from RNAcentral.